This 393-nucleotide ribosomal RNA is filed under the name uncultured bacterium. RNAcentral's name for it is "partial 16S ribosomal RNA". It matches the Rfam family "Bacterial small subunit ribosomal RNA", at positions 523 to 918 of the family's 1533-position model. The record is from RNAcentral.
AUACGGAGGAUCCGAGCGUUAUCCGGAUUUAUUGGGUUUAAAGGGAGCGUAGGCGGACUAUUAAGUCAGCUGUGAAAGUUUGCGGCUCAACCGUAAAAUUGCAGUUGAUACUGGUCGUCUUGAGUGCAGUAGAGGUAGGCGGAAUUCGUGGUGUAGCGGUGAAAUGCUUAGAUAUCACGAAGAACUCCGAUUGCGAAGGCAGCUUACUGGACUGUAACUGACGCUGAUGCUCGAAAGUGUGGGUAUCAAACAGGAUUAGAUACCCUGGUAGUCCACACAGUAAACGAUGAAUACUCGCUGUUUGCGAUAUACAGUAAGCGGCCAAGCGAAAGCAUUAAGUAUUCCACCUGGGGAGUACGCCGGCAACGGUGAAACUCAAAGGAAUUGGCGGGG